The sequence is a regulatory RNA element, 184 nucleotides long. It matches the Rfam family "Alphacoronavirus 3'UTR", at positions 1 to 195 of the family's 312-position model. Rfam says of the family: Further, a conserved octanucleotide sequence is present in the HVR. The record is from Rfam.
UUUGCUUUGUUCUAUCAAUAGUGCUAAUUGUGCUGACUUGCUUCCAUGGCUAUCAGGACCUUAUGGACCUGUGACUUGGAAGCUAGUCUUGCACACAAUGGUAAGCCAGUAGUAAUGACAGUGCAAGUAGGUUAUUACUAUAUUACGGCAUAUAGGUAAACAGCAGUUCUCAUUCAUCUAAGUA